GACGAACGCUGGCGGCGUGCUUAACACAUGCAAGUCGAACGGAAAGGCCCUGCUUUUGUGGGGUGCUCGAGUGGCGAACGGGUGAGUAACACGUGAGUAACCUGCCCUUGACUUUGGGAUAACUUCAGGAAACUGGGGCUAAUACCGGAUAGGAGCUCCUGCUGCAUGGUGGGGGUUGGAAAGUUUCGGCGGUUGGGGCUGGACUCGCGGCUUAUCAGCUUGUUGGUGGGGUAGUGGCUUACCAAGGCUUUGACGGGUAGCCGGCCUGAGAGGGUGACCGGCCACAUUGGGACUGAGAUACGGCCCAGACGCAUACGGGAGGCAGCAGUGGGAAUAUUGCACAAUGGGCGGAAGCCUGAUGCAGCAACGCCGCGUGCGGGAUGACGGCCUUCGGGUUGUAAACCGCUUUCGCCUGUGACGAAGCGUGAGUGACGGUAAUGGGUAAAGAAGCACCGGCUAACUACGUG
RNAcentral lists this ribosomal RNA (467 nucleotides) under uncultured bacterium. RNAcentral describes it as "partial 16S ribosomal RNA". It matches the Rfam family "Bacterial small subunit ribosomal RNA", at positions 28 to 507 of the family's 1533-position model. The record is from RNAcentral.